Molecule: long non-coding RNA, 5349 nt
Organism: Salarias fasciatus (jewelled blenny)
Lineage: Eukaryota; Metazoa; Chordata; Actinopteri; Blenniiformes; Blenniidae
Exons: 14
Source: RefSeq, a predicted model, not a curated record
GCGCUGGACCUUACAGGGAAAGAUACAAAGUAUUUCGCCCCAAAAGGAUCCUGAUUGUUGAUGAAACAGAGUUUUUAUUCCAUGUUCUUCUGGGCUGGGCCUGCCCCAACAGAUUGUUCGUAAUUGGACAAUUUGAUAUUGAUGUCAGCUGCCAACCAAGAGCUGACAUCCAUAUCCAGGAUGUUUUGGAACACUAGUGAGUGUGUGUCGGUUUCUCCGGAACGUUUUACACUUUAGCAGAACAUCUUAUAACCUUGGUGUACUUCUCUCAGGAAAGGCCUAAUAUGCAGUUAAUACAAUUAUUCCAUAGUAGUAGUGCUAAUUAAAGUAUGUCCCUAACAACGCUCCUUCUCGGUGUUGCCAUGGAGCAUUGUUAGGGGGCGGCCAUGAUCAGAAGGCUGGACUCAGGCCGGACGCCGACUGGUCUAACCCGCUUAAUCACCGGGGGGGCAGCAGCUUCAGAGCCCGGCGGCCUCCGUGACGUGAAGCCCCCAACGACAGCGCGGCCGCUCCCCGUGCCGCGGGCUGCGCAGCCCAGCUGCGUCAGAAGGAGUCACGAGCCGGUGGCUCGGCCACUCGCCCCGCCGGGGAGCGACGGGCCGUGAUCGCAGAAACAGAUGGUGUGAUUAUGGUGACCGAGAGGUUUAGAGGUGGACAAUCUGCUUGUAGCUUCAUGUCUGACGUUUUGUUUGAGCUGGCUGGCUUAAGCUACAAGCGAGCAGACGCUGUUUGCUCACGUGACCAGGAUGGCAAAGCAUUCUGGGAACCGUAGUCAAGAUGACGACAUAAGAUCUCGCGGGAAUUGCAGCAUCUCGCGAGAUAUUACACCACCGCUGGCAGGGCUACAAAUCAGAGAAAUAAAUUCAUUUGUCGUUGUUUGGAUACUUUUGUGCCUCCACCAUGGGUGAAACGGAUGAAUAAGCGAAUCUGUUUUGACGACAACUUCAAUCAUGUUUCUGUCCUCACACUCCAGGGUCUCCCGCUGGCCGAGCGGCACUUCCCGCCGGCCCCAGUGGGGGCACUGGAGGACAGAACGUGCUUUGAUGGCAGCAACAGCUGGUGCGAUUAUUGUGUCUGGGAAUCAAGAAAUGGAGAAUGCGUCUGUAACUUCAUGGUUGCAUAUCUGCUUGAACUAGCGAGCUUGGCUAAAAACGAGCAGACUUUUUAUUUGCUGCUCGUCGUCAAUCCGCACAGAAUUAUGGGAACAGUAGUCAGAACACAGCCCCACUGCGCCAUUACCCGGCGCAUGCUCCUCAGAUGCGUGGCGUUGUGGAGCGGUGUUGUUACUGGGUCGGCACCGCACUCUGCAGGUGAAGGUAUCAGAGUGGAACCUUCCAGGCUGUUCGUAUUUGUCAUUAUUCGGACACUUUUGUGCUUUUAUCGUGGGUAAAAUGCACGGCCAGCGCUAACUACUAUGGUAUAUCAAAAUGUAAUUGAACUGCAGACCAAGUUCUUUGAAACAGCAGCGGUGACUACAAUACCCAUAAACCCCAGCGACUGGGAACAAGUUUGCGCUUCAAUCUGUGAUACUGUCAUUGCGAUCAGUCUGCUCUCCAGGUAAGAUAUUAAUUUAUUAUGUGUUUCCCAUUUCACUUGAAUGUCGAAAAACUCAACCUUUUGUCUGUAUUUGCUUGAAAAGUUUGCAAAUCCGAGUCUUCAUUUGAAGUCAGCAUGAUGUUUUCCCACCAUCAACUGCCAAAAAAAAAGGUUUAAAAUGAAGCUAGCUUAUGUAGUCGUCAUUAAAAAGUGGUGGGGCUGUUAGCAUAUCCUGGAAGUGCUUGCAAGACCUUUCAUUGCCAUAACUGUGGUUUUGAUAUACCGUAUUGUCAAAUAAUGAAAUGUAAUUCACGAUGAACUUGAAUUGGCUCUGCUCCCCACCCUCAAAAAAAGGAAUGGUUGAGUAUUUUUAGUAUCAGUAUAUAUGUAUGUAAAAUAUGUCAGGAAAUCACAUUUCACAACAAUUAACUCUGUCUGUUCUGUCUACAGCUCCUGUUCUGCACAUCUUCAGCUACCUUCACCUACAUCAGAGGAAUUAAUUCAUCCCACAAAACAAAGGCACUUUUAAGAGCCACCCUCUCCUUUUACUUUAUUUCUCUAUUGCCUGUCUGUGUGUCUUUCUCUCAAUCUCUCUGUUUUCUCUUUCUAUCUGCAUUCUAUCUUCAUUCACCAAAACAAAGUCACAUCGUUUUUCCCAUCAGAGCAAGAUACUGAGAGUAACUUCUGUGUUUUAUGACGAUAUGACUUUCACCAGCCACAAUUUACCUGCCAAACAUGCCAGCAGCAGUAGGCCCCUGGCUUUAAGGGCCUUCUCAGGAGUGGGUAUUGGCCAGCCUCUGUGAACAGCACCACACUUUAUUCACUGGAUGUCCUCAACUCCUUCCAGGAACUGAAGGUCAUCUCUCCAGGAUUCUCCAGACAGGCCUUUGCAAAUCUGCUGGAGUAUCGUACUAAGUGUGGAGGAAGAUCUGGACAAAUCAAUGGUGAUGUGCUGCAGCGCAGCUUCUUAGAGUUUUCGUACGCUUCAUUUGAGGAAGAACAGCUCUGCUGUGGUGAUCUUUUCACCUGCCCAGCCUGCACCCCAAAAAUGUUGGCUGUUUCAGCAGAUGGAAACAGAAAGCUAUACCACUUUCGCCGGAACACAAGUUCUGAUGAACCUGCCUUUUUUGAGGGACUCUUUGUGGCUGAAGACAGCUCAGUGUCACUUUUUGUUGACACCAUUCAGAAAGCAGUAAUAAAAACACAUGGAAGAGGCACAUGUGGAGACUCCCAAUGGACAGCAGCGAGGGAGACUUCCAGAAGGGCUUCCAAAUUAGAUGAAGAAGGGAUGGAGGUUGCAGUAUGUCACCAUGGAAUCCUAUUGAAGGCCCUCAAUAUGUACAGGGGAGAGAUAUUUGCCUACCCGCUGUAUCUACAGAAAGAGCUCAUGCCAGCCAAGGCAGAGUUCUUUGCUAUGGAUGUAGCUUGCAAAUACUGGCCAUACCUGGAGAAAGCUACCAGUGUCCUUCCUGCUCUCCAGGAGCUGACCACGCAGAAGCCCUUUCUGAGUGUCAUGCAUGCCCGAGCUCAUGCUACAAAGUGUGAGGUUAAAUGGAGUGGUAGAAACCAGGAAGGAGCCGGGACAACUGCUGGUGAAGAGGUGGAACAAGUGAACAGCUACCUCUCUCGUUGUGCCCUGACAACAAAAUACAUGUCAAAAGCCGCACGGGUGGGUAUGCUGACAUUGCAUGCAAUGGGAUGGAACCGCAAAAAAAUGUUCUCCCCUCAUCAGGCACUUUCCACACGAUAUGUAAAGACAUGCCAGAGGCUCUGCGAUGAGACUUCCAGACUCGCAGAAAUGAAGACAGAGCUGCAUUGCUCAGAUGAAUUGGUGUCACAGUGACUGUCUGAUGUGAAGGCAACUGCUGGAACAUCAGAGACCAUCCAAGGCACCACAUGCACAGGACUACAGCAGUCCAUUGAGGGCCUUUACCUGAUUGUGAGAAAGCGGAAACAAACCCUGUACCGUCAGACUGACAGCAGCAAGCUUCGCCACCGCUCCGUAGGAAAAUGGCACAAGACAAAACACUACUUCUUCAGCAGAUCCACAAGUACAACACACUUGCUGUGGACUCCACUUUAAAGGUGGAUGCAGCUGUGGUGGAGCAGUCCCUCGCUGCAGAGAGACAUGGCCAUGGGAGCUUCAUGGCAGUGGGUGUACCGUCCUUCAGUUUUAAUUCCUAGUCGGACAUGUUUCACGGACGGAACAGUCGCGCAGGUUGGCUUCUCUUCAAAACUUGAUCAGAGCUUCGUCUCAAACAUUGCCAUGAAGAAACAGAUCCAUGACCAGGUGAUGUUAACAGUGAGACUUCAGGAAGAAAAAAGUCUUCUGGUGUUAGAAAUGGCACAGCACUGCACAUGGCUGCAGAACCUGGUGGCGGUCCUCAAGAAAAAGUUGGCUGACGAAGACAGUGGCAAUGAAGGACUUUGCUGUCUUCUAACAAGAAGAGCUUCAGAAAUGGAAGGACUGUUGCAGAUGGUGCACCAACAGUUCCAGACUGCUUUAGGUCCUCAGGCGACUGUCCUUCUGCAUGUUGAAGACGAGGUCCAGAAUGAACCCAGCAUUCCAGACACCAGUGAAGAUGAUGAAGAAGAAGAAAACACAUCCUAGGAAAUAUGGAAGACGCACAGUGGAUUGGGGUGAAGGAAAUGGACUUGUACGCCUCUGUAUCUGUGUAUUAACAUCCUACCUCCAUCUUUUCCGUUUUUAUGCCGGCUUAUCUGUGUAGGCUUUCAGGAGCCUGUCCCAGCUGACAGUUGAGCGUGAGGCAGGAUCUAAUCUGGAUAGAUCAUCAGUCCAGCACAGGACCGACACAGAGGGACAGACAAACCACCCUCUGUCACAUACACUUAUAUGGACAAUUUAACUUACUCCAUUAGCCUAGCAGGCAGUCUUGUGUUUGGGAGCCAAGUGAAGUACCUGGAGAGGACCUGAGCAGGCACAGGGAGAACAUGCAAACUCCACUGCACCACUAUGCAGCCCUGUUGUGUAAUAAACGUGGAUUCAAUUUGAAUGUUACCACAUUCUAAAUCUGUUCCGUGUCUUGAGAAAUGGUCUUGCCCUUUCAGUAGUGUGGCUGACCAACAUUCUUCUUUGUGGCUACAUGUUACGUGACUAAUUAAUAGUUGUGAACUAAUCCAGCUUUUGUGUGUUUUAGUUGACAGCUCAAUUUCAGUAGUAAAGCAUGGAUAUGUGUGUGUCUUUGUCAUCCCUUUGCAUAUAGCUGUGUGAGAACUCCUGGGCAAGUGCUUUUAUUUAAUGAAAGCAUUAGUCAUAGUUCAGAGUGGCUGGAUAUUGAUGAACAAAAAGAACUUUGGUGUGUAGAGGAUACAUCACAGUUAGUGUCAAACAGUCUGCUCUGGGGACAUCAGAUCAGUUUUCUUUCUUAUGGUUGGCAAGAAAAAGGUCACCUGGAUAGCAAUACCAUGUGUUUGUAAGCAAGGAAGAAGACAUGUCAAGCUGUAAAAUCCCACCUCUUUGAACAUUUGCACAACUGUUUUAUGAAGUGGAAAAUGUAUUGUGGCAGUAUGUAACAAAAUUCGAAGAACUACUUCCAUUUUUCCUUAAUUUGAAAUGUUUUUCUUUUUUUCACUAUCAUCUGGUUUCUUGAAAACCUAGGUUAGCUCAGGUGUCUUUUGACUUUGUGCCCUUCAGGUAGACAAUAUGUUUAAUGUCUUCUUGUAAAUGAAAUCUAGUCAGUACUUGUGUGAUGGGGAACACAUGUAAAGGGAAUAAUUAUUAUCAUAAAAUGUUAUUACUGUAUUUUGUAUGGUACAGUGUGAAAGUGAAGCAAUUACAUUCUGCUGAAGACC